UGAGGAACAUGACCUUCGGCGGGGGAGUAGCCGGCCCAACGGCCGGGUAAUACCGCGUACGACCACAUGGGGACAUCCCUGAGUGGUGAAAGCAGCAAUGCGCCGAUGGAGUGCCUCGCGGCCUAUCAGCUAGUUGGUGAGGUAACGCUCACCAAGGCGACGACGGGUAGCUGGUCUGAGAGGAUGGCCAGCCACAUUGGGACUGAGACACGGCCCAGACCUCGUACGGGGAGG
This 234-nucleotide ribosomal RNA is filed under the name uncultured bacterium. Its description in RNAcentral is "partial 16S ribosomal RNA". It matches the Rfam family "Bacterial small subunit ribosomal RNA", at positions 118 to 347 of the family's 1533-position model. The record is from RNAcentral.